UAUUUUUUUUCAGGUCCUUUCAACUACCACUGCUCUGCACACUGACUCCUUCACCAGGAUUCUUUCCAGAAACAUGUUACCAGGUCCUUUCCACUACCACUGCUCUGCACACUGACUCCUUCACCAGGAUUCUUUCCAGGAACAUUUUACCAGGUCCUUUCAACUACCACUGCUCUGCACACUGACUCCUUCACCAGGAUUCUUUCCAGGAACAUUUUACCAGGUCCUUUCAACUACCACUGCUCUGCACACUGACUCCUUCACCAGGAUUCUUUCCAGGAACAUUUUACCAGAUCUUCUCGAUCCAACUAUUACUGCCCUGAAGCCUUAAAUUCAAGAGCUUGGAACACUCAUUCAUGUGAAUGACUUGCAAGUGGUUUUUUUUAAUGACUGUCUAUAAUUAUGCAUGAUUAACUUAACUCUUAUUAACUCAAUAACAUGACUAACCUCACUAACUUAAUUAUGCAGUUAUUAUUAAAACCACUUGUUGAGUUUUACUAUGAAGGUCUUAAUAGGGUUGCGUGGAUGACACCGCUGCAUGAUUAAUCAGGGUAAACGAAAACUUCUAGCCAAGUAUUCUUCAACUCUCAAGUUACUCAAGACUUGUUCUCCGGCUGAAAUAGUCGCUCGAUCUACUAAUUAUGCUGUCCCAAGUACUGGCG
Ctenocephalides felis (cat flea) is the source of this 662-nucleotide long non-coding RNA. RefSeq lists it as uncharacterized. Lineage: Eukaryota; Metazoa; Arthropoda; Insecta; Siphonaptera; Pulicidae. The record is from RefSeq and is a predicted model, not a curated record. The transcript has 6 exons.